RNAcentral lists this ribosomal RNA (444 nucleotides) under uncultured bacterium. RNAcentral describes it as "bacterial SSU rRNA". It matches the Rfam family "Bacterial small subunit ribosomal RNA", at positions 28 to 507 of the family's 1533-position model. The record is from RNAcentral.
GAUAAACGCUGGCGGCGUGCCUUAUGCAUGCAAGUCGUACGUGAGACCGGCUUCGGCCGGUUGAAAGUGGCGAACGGGUGAGUAACACGUAGGAACCUGCCCGGAAGUGGGGGAUAACUCCGCGAAAGCGGGGCUAAUACCGCAUGUGGUCGCAAGACCAAAGCUUCGGCGCUUCCGGAGGGGCCUGCGGCGGAUUAGCUAGUUGGUGGGGUAACGGCCUACCAAGGCGACGAUCCGUAGCUGGUCUGAGAGGAUGGUCAGCCACACUGGAACUGAGACACGGUCCAGACUCCUACGGGAGGCAGCAGCAAGGAAUUUUGCGCAAUGGGCGAAAGCCUGACGCAGCAACGCCGCGUGGGGGAUGAAGGCCUCGGGUUGUAAACCCCUUUGUCGAGGGAAGAAGAUCUGACGGUACCUCGCGAAUAAGCCACGGCUAACUACGUG